This 253-nucleotide ribosomal RNA is filed under the name uncultured bacterium. RNAcentral's name for it is "partial 16S ribosomal RNA". It matches the Rfam family "Bacterial small subunit ribosomal RNA", at positions 524 to 776 of the family's 1533-position model. The record is from RNAcentral.
UACGUAGGGGGCAAGCGUUGUCCGGAUUUAUUGGGCGUAAAGAGCGUGUAGGCGGCCAGAUAGGUCAGCUGUGAAAACUCGAGGCUCAACCUCGAGACGCCGGUUGAAGCCAUUUGGCUAGAGUCCGGAAGAGGAGAGUGGAAUUCCUGGUGUAGCGGUGAAAUGCGCAGAUAUCAGGAAGAACACCCGUGGCUAAGGCGGCUCUCUAGUACGGUACUGACGCUGAGACGCGAAAGCGUGGGGAGCGAACAGG